GGUCAUGUUCUGAGCUCCAAGACAGGAUUGGGUGGAGAAGAUGCAUGCCAGAAGACCAGCUUCAUCCAUGAAGCCUGAGUUGUGUGCUGAUCAAAGAGUUAAUCUUGGCAUGGCAGCCCCUCUUGACAUGACUUUUAGCCUCUGAGUUUAUGGCAGUGCUUUUGAUAAGGUUCAUUGAUGAAGAUCUUUCUAAUGGACAUAUGAUGUAAAAUAUUCCAAAAGAUUAUAUCCCUUCAGUGCCCAUUGUAUACUCAGACAGAACCCUACAGCAGCAAGGAGAGGAGCAUAUAGGUUGGGGCAAUUAGAAACCAACACUCUCCUACUGUGGCACUAUAGACCCAAGGUUGGCUUGGAGUACUUGGAGGCAAGACUGCUUGACAGAAGAUACCCUGCUUUCCUAAUGCCCUCAAAAGCAAAAGGCCCAAGAGUGUGAACUCCCUGGAGCUGCUUUGCACUUGAUGCAAUCCUGGCCUCAUAAGAGAGGUCUGGCAAGUGGAGCUGGAUGUCUCAGAUAGAGGAGAACAUGGACUCGGUGGUGCCACCAUUCCUCAGCUCUCCAUUCAAGCCUAACUGCUCUUGGGGUUUGGGGGCAAUUGGCACAGAGUCAACAAUGUAGACUCCAGCAGAAGAUGAGAAAUGCUGCAGCAAGCUCAUCUGAACACUGCUGCAAGCUCCUUUAAUACCCUCCACACAUGCCCCCUUUGGUCCCAAUAAAGUAUCUAUUCC
Mus musculus (house mouse) is the source of this 726-nucleotide long non-coding RNA. RefSeq annotates it as RIKEN cDNA 1700110I07 gene. The record is from RefSeq and is marked validated. The transcript is spliced from 4 exons. Lineage: Eukaryota; Metazoa; Chordata; Mammalia; Rodentia; Muridae.